AUUGAACGCUGGCGGCAUGCUUUACACAUGCAAGUCGAACGGUAACAGGUCUUUCGGGAUGCUGACGAGUGGCGAACGGGUGAGUAAUGUAUCGGAACGUGCCCAGUAGUGGGGGAUAACUACUCGAAAGAGUGGCUAAUACCGCAUGAGAUCUCUGGAUGAAAGCGGGGGACCGUAAGGCCUCGCGCUACUGGAGCGGCCGAUAUCAGAUUAGGUUGUUGGUGAGGUAAAGGCUCACCAAGCCGACGAUCUGUAGCUGGUCUGAGAGGACGACCAGCCACACUGGGACUGAGACACGGCCCAGACUCCUACGGGAGGCAGCAGUGGGGAAUUUUGGACAAUGGGCGCAAGCCUGAUCCAGCAAUGCCGCGUGCAGGACGAAGGCCUCG
RNAcentral lists this ribosomal RNA (389 nucleotides) under uncultured bacterium. Its description in RNAcentral is "bacterial SSU rRNA". It matches the Rfam family "Bacterial small subunit ribosomal RNA", at positions 30 to 419 of the family's 1533-position model. The record is from RNAcentral.